GGACGAACGCUGGCGGCGUGCUUAACACAUGCAAGUUGAACGGGACGGAUAUUGAAGCGACUUUUCGGAGUGGUGGAUAUAUUGUUUAGUAGCGGACGGGUGAGUAAUGCAUGAGAACCUGCCCUUCAGAGGGGGACAACAGUUGGAAACGGCUGCUAAUACCCCAUAUGCCGAGAGGUGAAAGGAGCGAUCCGCUGAAGGAGAGGCUCAUGUCCUAUCAGCUAGUUGGUGAGGUAAGUGCUCACCAAGGCGAUGACGGGUAGCCGGCCUGAGAGGGCGACCGGCCACACUGGAACUGAGAUACGGUCCAGACUCCUACGGGAGGCAGCAGUGGGGAAUAUUGGGCAAUGGGGCCGGAAGCCUGACCCAGCGACGCCGCGUGAGGGAAGAAGGCCUUUGGGUCGUAAACCUCUGUUGUAUGGGAAGAAGGAAGUGACGGUACCAUACGAGGAAGUCCCGGCUAACUACGUGCCAGCCGCGGC
RNAcentral lists this ribosomal RNA (482 nucleotides) under uncultured bacterium. RNAcentral describes it as "bacterial SSU rRNA". It matches the Rfam family "Bacterial small subunit ribosomal RNA", at positions 27 to 518 of the family's 1533-position model. The record is from RNAcentral.